GCUUACUUGGUGAAAUCGGUAGACACGAAAGCUUUAAAAGCUUUUUGUUUUUAUAAACAAUGCAGGUUCAAGUCCCGCAGUAAGCA
RNAcentral lists this transfer RNA (86 nucleotides) under Bryopsis plumosa. RNAcentral describes it as "tRNA-Leu". It matches the Rfam family "tRNA". From Rfam's summary of the family: Transfer RNA (tRNA) molecules are approximately 80 nucleotides in length. Their secondary structure includes four short double-helical elements and three loops (D, anti-codon, and T loops). Further hydrogen bonds mediate the characteristic L-shaped molecular structure. tRNAs have two regions of fundamental functional importance: the anti-codon, which is responsible for specific mRNA codon recognition, and the 3' end, to which the tRNAs corresponding amino acid is attached (by aminoacyl-tRNA synthetases). tRNAs cope with the degeneracy of the genetic code in two manners: having more than one tRNA (with a specific anti-codon) for a particular amino acid; and 'wobble' base-pairing, i.e. permitting non-standard base-pairing at the 3rd anti-codon position. RNAcentral also lists the same sequence under 3 other names. Lineage: Eukaryota; Viridiplantae; Chlorophyta; Ulvophyceae; Bryopsidales; Bryopsidaceae. The record is from RNAcentral.